This 130-nucleotide transfer RNA is filed under the name Hypoxylon rubiginosum. Its description in RNAcentral is "tRNA-Ser". It matches the Rfam family "tRNA". Rfam says of the family: Transfer RNA (tRNA) molecules are approximately 80 nucleotides in length. Their secondary structure includes four short double-helical elements and three loops (D, anti-codon, and T loops). Further hydrogen bonds mediate the characteristic L-shaped molecular structure. tRNAs have two regions of fundamental functional importance: the anti-codon, which is responsible for specific mRNA codon recognition, and the 3' end, to which the tRNAs corresponding amino acid is attached (by aminoacyl-tRNA synthetases). tRNAs cope with the degeneracy of the genetic code in two manners: having more than one tRNA (with a specific anti-codon) for a particular amino acid; and 'wobble' base-pairing, i.e. permitting non-standard base-pairing at the 3rd anti-codon position. Lineage: Eukaryota; Fungi; Ascomycota; Sordariomycetes; Xylariales; Hypoxylaceae. The record is from RNAcentral.
GGCACGGUGGUAGAGUGGUCUAACGAGUGAGACUUGAACUAAAUCAUUCGUUUACGGUGUUCCGUUUACGGCAUCUCGUUCACGGUAUCUCAUAUCUGCGGACGCGCAGGUUCGAAUCCUGCCCGUGUCG